This 123-nucleotide ribosomal RNA is filed under the name Pteropus alecto (black flying fox). The record is from RNAcentral. Lineage: Eukaryota; Metazoa; Chordata; Mammalia; Chiroptera; Pteropodidae.
UUCUAUGUUCACGCCUCCCUGAACAAUCCCGAUCCUGUCUGACUUAUAUCAAAAGCUAAGCAGGGUCGGGCUUGAUUAGUACUUGGAUGAGAGACCACCUAGGAAGAUCAGAUGCUGUAGGCG